RNAcentral lists this ribosomal RNA (459 nucleotides) under uncultured bacterium. Its description in RNAcentral is "partial 16S ribosomal RNA". It matches the Rfam family "Bacterial small subunit ribosomal RNA", at positions 338 to 795 of the family's 1533-position model. The record is from RNAcentral.
CCUACGGGCGGCAGCAGUGAGGAAUAUUGGUCAAUGGGCGCGAGCCUGAACCAGCCAAGUCGCGUGAGGGAAGACGGUUCUAUGGAUUGUAAACCUCUUUUGUCGGGGAGCAAAAGACGCCACGCGUGGCGUUCCGAGAGUACCCGAAGAAAAAGCAUCGGCUAACUCCGCGCCAGCAGCCGCGGUAAUACGGAGGAUGCGAGCGUUAUCCGGAUUGAUUGGGUUUAAAGGGUGCGAAGGCGGAAGAUCAAGUCAGCGGUAAAAUUGAGAGGCUCAACCUCUUCGAGCCGUUGAAACUGGUUUUCUUGAGUGAGCGAGAAGUAUGCGGAAUGCGUGGUGUAGCGGUGAAAUGCAUAGAUAUCACGCAGAACUCCGAUUGCGAAGGCAGCAUACCGGCGCUCAACUGACGCUCAUGCACGAAAGUGUGGGUAUCGAACAGGAUUAGAUACCCUGGUAGUC